Tachysurus fulvidraco (yellow catfish) is the source of this 639-nucleotide non-coding RNA. The record is from the annotation of a RefSeq genome assembly. Lineage: Eukaryota; Metazoa; Chordata; Actinopteri; Siluriformes; Bagridae.
GUCUGAGAGCUGCUGCUACUUCGCCCACAACUACCAUGACUUUAAUCCCCGUCUUCAUCUGGACACUGAUCCUCUGGACUCAAGAAUGCAGAGGUCAAGUCACAGUAACUCAGACUCCUGCAGUGAAAUCUGUUCUUCCAGGAGAAACAGUCACCAUCAACUGUAAAACCAAUCCCCAAGUGUAUCAAGACUGGGGUUAUCAACCUUUACACUGGUAUCAGCAGAAACUUGGAGAAGCUCCGAAACUAUUGAUCAUAAAAGCAAAUAAGCUACAGUCAGGUUUUCCAGCUCGUUUCAGUGGCAGUGGAUCUGGAUCUGAUUUCACUCAGUGGAGUCCAGACUGAAGAUGCAGGAGAUUACUACUGUCACAGUUGGCACAACAUCAAUGGCUAUGUGUUCACACAGUGUUAUAAAGUCAUACAAAAACUUUCCUCAGUGAGAUAGUAGAGAGACUGUACUGCUGCAGCUGGGAGCGACUGUAGGUGCUCCCAGCGUACAAUGACACUCUGUGGAGUAGAAGAAGAACCACAUCACACUAACCCACAGAUCAAAUUAGAGAUCGCUUAAUAAUCUUCACCCCACACUGAACACAGUCCAUCACAUCCACUACUGAAAAAUAAAUAGAUUUACUUAUCAUAA